This 483-nucleotide ribosomal RNA is filed under the name uncultured bacterium. RNAcentral describes it as "bacterial SSU rRNA". It matches the Rfam family "Bacterial small subunit ribosomal RNA", at positions 29 to 500 of the family's 1533-position model. The record is from RNAcentral.
AUUGAACGCUGGCGGCAUGCCUUACACAUGCAAGUCGAACGGCAGCACGGGAGCUUGCUCCUGGUGGCGAGUGGCGAACGGGUGAGUAAUACAUCGGAACGUACCCUGAAGUGGGGGAUAACGUAGCGAAAGUUACGCUAAUACCGCAUAUUCUGUGAGCAGGAAAGAGGGGGAUCGCAAGACCUCUUGCUUUAGGAGCGGCCGAUGUCGGAUUAGCUAGUUGGUGAGGUAAAGGCUCACCAAGGCGACGAUCCGUAGCGGGUCUGAGAGGAUGAUCCGCCACACUGGGACUGAGACACGGCCCAGACUCCUACGGGAGGCAGCAGUGGGGAAUUUUGGACAAUGGGCGCAAGCCUGAUCCAGCCAUGCCGCGUGAGUGAAGAAGGCCUUCGGGUUGUAAAGCACUUCAGUGGGGAGGAAAAGGACGUGGUGGCGUAAUACUCACGGCCGUGACGCUACCCACACGAAGAAGACACCGGCCGU